Molecule: unclassified non-coding RNA, 344 nt
Filed under: uncultured fungus
Lineage: Eukaryota; Fungi
Description: sequence contains ITS2
Source: RNAcentral
AACGCAUAUUGCGCUCUUUGGUAUUCCGAAGAGCAUGCUUGUUUGAGUAUCAGUAAACACCUCAAAGCUUUUGGAUUUUUUUUUGAAAGUUUUGGACUUGAGCAAUCCCAACACCAAUCUUUUUCAGAUCGGCGGCGGGUUGCUUGAAAUGCAGGUGCAGCUGGACAUUCUCCUGAGCUAAAAGCAUAUUCAUUUAGUCCCGUCAAACGGAUUAUUACUUUUGCUGCAGCUAACAUAAAGGGAGUUUGACCGCAUUGGCUGACUGAUGCAGGAUUUUACAAGGGUCGGCAACGAUUCUUGUUAAACUCGAUCUCAAAUCAAGUAAGACUACCCGCUGAACUUAA